CACCGCGGUUAUACGAGAGGCCCUAGUUGACAGACACCGGCGUAAAGGGUGGUUAAGGAGAGCAAGAAUUAAAGCCAAAGGGCCUCUUGGCCGUCAUACGCUUCUGAGUGUCCGAAGCCCAAAACGAAAGUAGCUUUAAUAUAGCCCACCUGACCCCACGAAAACUGAGAAA
RNAcentral lists this ribosomal RNA (172 nucleotides) under Lefua nikkonis (stone loach). RNAcentral's name for it is "partial 12S rRNA". The record is from RNAcentral. Lineage: Eukaryota; Metazoa; Chordata; Actinopteri; Cypriniformes; Nemacheilidae.